RNAcentral lists this ribosomal RNA (1188 nucleotides) under Escherichia coli. Its description in RNAcentral is "partial 23S ribosomal RNA". It matches the Rfam family "Bacterial large subunit ribosomal RNA", at positions 1 to 1230 of the family's 2925-position model. The record is from RNAcentral. Lineage: Bacteria; Pseudomonadati; Pseudomonadota; Gammaproteobacteria; Enterobacterales; Enterobacteriaceae.
GUUAAGCGACUAAGCGUACACGGUGGAUGCCCUGGCAGUCAGAGGCGAUGAAGGACGUGCUAAUCUGCGAUAAGCGUCGGUAAGGUGAUAUGAACCGUUAUAACCGGCGAUUUCCGAAUGGGGAAACCCAGUGUGUUUCGACACACUAUCAUUAACUGAAUCCAUAGGUUAAUGAGGCGAACCGGGGGAACUGAAACAUCUAAGUACCCCGAGGAAAAGAAAUCAACCGAGAUUCCCCCAGUAGCGGCGAGCGAACGGGGAGCAGCCCAGAGCCUGAAUCAGUGUGUGUGUUAGUGGAAGCGUCUGGAAAGGCGCGCGAUACAGGGUGACAGCCCCGUACACAAAAAUGCACAUGCUGUGAGCUCGAUGAGUAGGGCGGGACACGUGGUAUCCUGUCUGAAUAUGGGGGGACCAUCCUCCAAGGCUAAAUACUCCUGACUGACCGAUAGUGAACCAGUACCGUGAGGGAAAGGCGAAAAGAACCCCGGCGAGGGGAGUGAAAAAGAACCUGAAACCGUGUACGUACAAGCAGUGGGAGCACGCUUAGGCGUGUGACUGCGUACCUUUUGUAUAAUGGGUCAGCGACUUAUAUUCUGUAGCAAGGUUAACCGAAUAGGGGAGCCGAAGGGAAACCGAGUCUUAACUGGGCGUUAAGUUGCAGGGUAUAGACCCGAAACCCGGUGAUCUAGCCAUGGGCAGGUUGAAGGUUGGGUAACACUAACUGGAGGACCGAACCGACUAAUGUUGAAAAAUUAGCGGAUGACUUGUGGCUGGGGGUGAAAGGCCAAUCAAACCGGGAGAUAGCUGGUUCUCCCCGAAAGCUAUUUAGGUAGCGCCUCGUGAAUUCAUCUCCGGGGGUAGAGCACUGUUUCGGCAAGGGGGUCAUCCCGACUUACCAACCCGAUGCAAACUGCGAAUACCGGAGAAUGUUAUCACGGGAGACACACGGCGGGUGCUAACGUCCGUCGUGAAGAGGGAAACAACCCAGACCGCCAGCUAAGGUCCCAAAGUCAUGGUUAAGUGGGAAACGAUGUGGGAAGGCCCAGACAGCCAGGAUGUUGGCUUAGAAGCAGCCAUCAUUUAAAGAAAGCGUAAUAGCUCACUGGUCGAGUCGGCCUGCGCGGAAGAUGUAACGGGGCUAAACCAUGCACCGAAGCUGCGGCAGCGACGCUUAUGCGUUGUUGGGUA